Molecule: long non-coding RNA, 1467 nt
Organism: Numida meleagris (helmeted guineafowl)
Lineage: Eukaryota; Metazoa; Chordata; Aves; Galliformes; Numididae
Exons: 2
Source: RefSeq, a predicted model, not a curated record
ACCUCAUCAAUCUGGAACCCGAAUGGAGCUUUCCCUAAAGGUUGCCUCCAAACGCAUUCCUGAGGAGCACUGACUGGUGACCAGAGCGGCUGGCCGGAAAAAAGCUGUGCAGCACAGCAACAGCGUUAACAGCUCUUCACCAGGACAUGCAGUAAGGGGCUCACCUCCCCCCACAGCAGAGAAGGUGUUCUGAAAGCAAGUAAGAAAUCGGUUUCAAUUACUCCUGAACUUGACAAAAACUUUGCACCUGAAAAUCUGCACUAAACAACAGGCUGCCCCAGCUACCAUUCUCACUGUAUUCUUUCUCAAGGUCUUACAACUUGGACAAACGUCAAGUCACACAACAUGGCUCUGACAAUAUUAGCUUACCACAGUGAUCGUGAGUUUUCAUUUUGCAGACCAGCAGCCCUUCAUCAGAAGCACAGGAACCAAACACCAUUUUGGGGACUCAGCAGUAGCAGUUUUUUUCUUUGGCGCAUUAAACGGAGAAGUUUUAGAUGCUCAUGGAACCACAGAACAACGCCAAGUGCUUUAACUUGCUGGAUAAGGGGAUCACAGCAAAGGGUUAUGUGAUUUGUUUAGCUGCAUGUGGGUAACUGAAAGAGAUUGUGUGGAAUAUGUGAAGAGAAAUCAGAAGCUAACAUGCCUUGAAACGGCAGAAGAAGCAAAAUGCAGAUUUACACAGGAAAUUACAGUUUCUCUGUAAGUGGCCCAGCUGCACAUUCAAACUUUGUGGCAAUCCUGUCCCACCUUGCUCUUGAUUCCUGCUGACAGCAACUCACUCUCUUUCCUCAAAGAACGAACCUCGGACGGAAGCACCUUGGCAGUACUGAUGAAAAACUCGGCACUCAUUUUGGCAGGUUCCAUAGCCAUAUGUUCAUGUGCAGGCCUCGACCAGCUCAAGCAAGGGAAUUAAAACAGCAGCUAAGAUAAGAACAGGACAGGCCAGCUUAAUUUCCCCAGGAGGUGGCUACACUGGAUCCAGAACACUAAGACAACCAAGGACCACUUCUCCCAAAGGAGAAACAAUCGUAGUGGACUGCAAAACGUUGCCUUACAGGGAAGCCAUGACUCACAGAAAUUACUGAGUUCUGGAAGGAGUAGACAGACAUUCAGCUCUAUGUGAACCAUGCUUCCUCCCCUGGAAAUCUUGUCCCAUAUGGGUGUAGGAGGUGUGCAUCUUCCCACAGUGUGAGACAGGUUAUACAUAAAUGGGUGCAACUGUAAAUUAGGUUCUCCAAUCAUUCAAGUCUACAAGGAAAUAUGACACAAAGCAAUAAUAUAAACUGGUGAUACAAACAGAUAGCCCAGAUCAAUGCUUAGAACAGUGCUUAAUUUAACUCCAGUGUUCACACACAAAGCUGAAAAAAAGCUCUCCAUUUAGCCUGUGGCCAAAACUUCAUUGCUGCCAGUUUCUGGUCAGAAACAAAUGUCUUGAACUACCUUUUGCUUUCAGCUAAAGAAGAA